UAACCCCACCCCCUCCUUUGCAGCUCCACCCAUUCCCUCUCGCCCAGGCCAGCCCAUUAAUGCCUUCAGCAACAGCAACCUGGAUCCUUUCAGUGCGCCUCCACAGAUCCCCUCCCGCCCUGCCCGCAUCCCUCCGGGUAUCCCCAGCAGAAGACCCCCUGGCGCUCCCAACCGGCCCACCAUUAUCCGCCCCACCGAGCCCUCCCUUCUAGACUAGACCCGUGCGCUGGCCAUCAUAGGCUGACAGAAAGAAAGAAAGAGAGAGAGAGAAAGGAAGGGCUGGAGAACUGCACUGAAACAUGUGCACGUGUGUCUACACAUACAGCCUGACCAGUAAACCUAAAUAAUCCACUCAAACUGUCCUCUGAUCAGCGCUGCUAAUCACAUCCUUACUUUUAAAGCCCAGAGGUCUAAAUUAAGCACAUAAAUAUUCAAAUAAAAUUAUUGUUGCUAUUAUUUUGUUAAACUAUAGAGUGAACUAAAGGGUGUAGUGGCCUCCAACUUUCAGUCAUUUCAUCACUCACAUAGGUCAGGUGACCACCAGGGGGUAUCCUACUCAACUUGUGUAGACAAACCAACAUUAGACUCAUGAAGCCUCCUCUCUGACUAGUGGUUUAAUGUGGGAUAAGAUGUGUACUGUUCUUGGGUAACUUAAGGGUGGUUGAAGAUUCUUUCUUGUUUUAGACGCACUUCAUGUGUUUUGUUUUCAUUCUGUGUUUUCUUGAAUCUCUAACUUGAUAUGCUGAAAUAAGACACCAUGACCGCUGUUAUUAUUGCUAUGUGGGAUUGAUUUUGAUCUGAUUUCUGUUUUUCAUGUUCAAUUGGCCGUUUGUUAUGUUUGAUUCCCUUCAAAACGGCACUUAGUACCAAGAGACUGUUAAUUAUGACUCCGUAGCAGCUAACCAAUCAGAAAUGCAAACAUUCAAGUUCAUAAUUCAAAAACCUAGAUGUUGAUGCUCAUGUUUGGUGUUAGCAGGCAACAUCCUCUUUCUGUUGGCCGGGAAAUUUGGUUCUUGAAAAGCACUUCCGGUUUUCUAGUGAUGGGAAUUUCUUAGGUAGUCAGAGAAGGAGGAGGUGCAAUUUGUAUGCAAAUCUCUGUAAUGAUCUGUUUAUAUAAAUAAUAUUUUGUGUAUAUGAAUAUAAUCCUGGAAAGCAUGGUAACCACUCGUGACGGGCCGACCCGUCAGAGCUCAGGUAACAUCCGACUCCAAAUCUGGUAACAGUUUACGCUAGCUUAGCGUUCUGAUUGUUGUAACUUAAAUUAAUUGGCAAGGCCUUAUGGGGCGCUUUUAUUUUCGCAUUCAGGGAUGGUGAGGGUCAGGGGAGCGAUUAUGAGCGGGAAGAACAACAGGAAGUGGGAAUGCACUCAAACACAAGUCACUGAACAUGGUACAUGCAGGUGUAUUUGGCAUUGUGGAGCGUUUGCUUUAUGGAACCAGUCCGUUCUCGCCUACAAAAACACAGGGAACUUUCUGAACGCAAAAAAACGGUGAACCUUUAAUGUAGAUAUCAUAGUAAAUGUACUAAGGCGUAUUUCUGAGUGUAUUAUUUAUAACCUGGGCAUUUGUCUUUGUGUUUGCAUUUUUCACAAACUGUUUGCUUCGGAGUAGAACGACAGCUAUUCUUCGCUAUUGACAGAUUUGUGCCCCGUCAGUUGCGUAAACAAUGGUUGAACAGAAUUCAGAGUGAAAGCGGUCCAGCUGGUUUCCUGUUGAUCCUGUUUUGAUUGCAGAAUCUUUGCCGUUUGCUUUUAUUGAUGUGUGUGCAAGGAAAUGAGCCAUGACAAAUGUUGUUUUCUUGAUUAACUUUAGGAUAAGAAUAGGGAUUUUGGUGUAAGCGGGAGCGGGGGUCUUUGAUUUUAGCGCCAAUUUGUCUGUAAAUAAUUGAAGGCUUGGAGUCGGACUUGAGAUUAAACUUAAAAAUUAGCUGCAGAAAUCAGGGCCGAACGCUCUUAAAUCACUCCUGUGUGUUAUGGCUACAGUGAUGGCAACCGCUGCUCCUUCUUCAGUCAGUUCAAGGCUUGAAUUAAAAUCGUAUCCAGCUGUAUCCUUUCCGAUUUUAAAUUACUUCAACAUCUGUUAAGAACUGGAUAAAGCCCAGAUCACUGCAGCCAUAACUUUUCCUCUGGUCUUUUCUCAUGGUGACCCGAUCCCCAUCUCUCCCUCUAAUAACUGUGUCCUUUUGUAUGGAGUGAGGGACUGAGGACAUAUUUAGCAUUCUUUUUUUAUGCUUUUGGAAUAGCAAAUAAUUGUCAAGUGCCUGUGUAGCAAUUAAAAUGGACUUGAAGCAAAAUGCACAAUGAGAAUUGGAAGUGAGAUGAUGAUGAUAAUAAAAGGUGUUGUGUAUAAUAAAGAUCUGGCA
Molecule: long non-coding RNA, 2361 nt
Organism: Sinocyclocheilus grahami
Lineage: Eukaryota; Metazoa; Chordata; Actinopteri; Cypriniformes; Cyprinidae
Exons: 2
Source: RefSeq, a predicted model, not a curated record